CAGAGGGGGCAAGCGUUAUUCGGAAUUAUUGGGCGUAAAGGGCGCGUAGGCGGCUUAGCAAGUGACGGGUGAAAUCCCUCGGCUUAACCGAGGAACUGCCUGUCAAACUGCAUGGCUUGAGACCGGGAGAGGUGAGUGGAAUUCCCAGUGUAGCGGUGAAAUGCGUAGAUAUUGGGAGGAACACCAGUGGCGAAGGCGGCUCACUGGACCGGUACUGACGCUGAUGCGCGAAAGCGUGGGGAGCAAACAGGAUUAGAUACCCUGGUAGUCCACGCCGUAAACGAUGAGUGCUUGGUGUAGCGGGUAUCGACCCCUGCUGUGCCGAAGUCAACACAUUAAGCACUCCGCCUGGGGAGUACGGUCGCAAGGCUG
This 372-nucleotide ribosomal RNA is filed under the name uncultured organism. Its description in RNAcentral is "bacterial SSU rRNA". It matches the Rfam family "Bacterial small subunit ribosomal RNA", at positions 526 to 896 of the family's 1533-position model. The record is from RNAcentral.